Molecule: ribosomal RNA, 551 nt
Filed under: uncultured bacterium
Lineage: Bacteria
Description: partial 16S ribosomal RNA
Rfam family: Bacterial small subunit ribosomal RNA
Source: RNAcentral
UGGGGAAUAUUGGACAAUGGGCGCAAGCCUGAUCCAGCAAUGCCGCGUGUGUGAAGAAGGCCUUCGGGUUGUAAAGCACUUUUAUCAGGAGCGAAACGCUGUCGGCUAAUACCCGGCGGAACUGACGGUACCUGAGGAAUAAGCACCGGCUAACUUCGUGCCAGCAGCCGCGGUAAUACGAAGGGUGCAAGCGUUAAUCGGAAUUACUGGGCGUAAAGCGUGCGUAGGCGGUUUCUUAAGUCUGCUGUGAAAUCCCCGGGCUCAACCUGGGAAUGGCAGUGGAUACUGGGAGGCUAGAGUGUGUCAGAGGGUGGUGGAAUUCCCGGUGUAGCGGUGAAAUGCGUAGAGAUCGGGAGGAACAUCAGUGGCGAAGGCGGCCACCUGGGACAACACUGACGCUGAGGCACGAAAGCGUGGGGAGCAAACAGGAUUAGGAUACCCUGGUAGUCCACGCCCUAAACGAUGCGAACUGGAUGUUGGUCUCAACUCGGAGAUCAGUGUCGAAGCUAACGCGUUAAGUUCGCCGCCUGGGGAGUACGGUCGCAAGACUG